Molecule: ribosomal RNA, 914 nt
Filed under: uncultured bacterium
Lineage: Bacteria
Description: bacterial SSU rRNA
Rfam family: Bacterial small subunit ribosomal RNA
Source: RNAcentral
AGAGUUUGAUCAUGGCUCAGGAUUAACGCUAGCGGCAGGCCUAAUACAUGCAAGUCGAACGGCAGCACGGGUAGCAAUACCUGGUGGCGAGUGGCGCACGGGUGCGUAACGCGUAUGCAAUCUACCUAUAACUGGGGAAUAGCCUUCCGAAAGGAAGAUUAAUACCGCAUAAUAUCACGAGACGGCAUCGUUUUGUGAUCAAAUCUCCGGAGGUUAUAGAUGAGCAUGCGUGACAUUAGCUAGUUGGUGAGGUAACGGCUCACCAAGGCUACGAUGUCUAGGGGGUCUGAGAGGAUGAUCCCCCACACUGGUACUGAGACACGGACCAGACUCCUACGGGAGGCAGCAGUAAGGAAUAUUGGACAAUGGCCGCAAGGCUGAUCCAGCCAUGCCGCGUGCAGGAUGAAGGUGCUCUGCAUUGUAAACUGCUUUUGUUUGGGAAUAAACCCCUCUACGUGUAGAGGGCUGAAUGUACCAAAAGAAUAAGGGACGGCUAACUUCGUGCCAGCAGCCGCGGUAAUACGAAGGUCCCAAGCGUUAUCCGGAUUUAUUGGGUUUAAAGGGUGCGUAGGCGGAUUAUUAAGUCAGUGGUGAAAGCCUUCAGCUUAACUGAAGAACUGCCAUUGAUACUGAUGAUCUUGAGUAUGAUUGAGGUGGGCGGAAUGUGUCAUGUAGCGGUGAAAUGCUUAGAUAUGACACAGAACACCGAUUGCGAAGGCAGCUCACUAAGUCAUAACUGACGCUGAUGCACGAAAGCGUGGGGAGCAAACAGGAUUAGAUACCCUGGUAGUCCACGCCCUAAACGAUGAUCACUCGAUGUGUGCGAUACACUGUACGCGUCUGAGCGAAAUGCAUUAUAGAUGAUCCUCCUGGGGAGUAGCGACCGCAAGGUUGAAACUCAAAGGGAUUGACGG